CGGGACGGGUGAGUAAUGUCUGGGAAACUGCCUGAUGGAGGGGGAUAACUACUGGAAACGGUAGCUAAUACCGCAUAACGUCGCAAGACCAAAGAGGGGGACCUUCGGGCCUCUUGCCAUCGGAUGUGCCCAGAUGGGAUUAGCUAGUAGGUGGGGUAACGGCUCACCUAGGCGACGAUCCCUAGCUGGUCUGAGAGGAUGACCAGCCACACUGGAACUGAGACACGGUCCA
Molecule: ribosomal RNA, 232 nt
Filed under: uncultured bacterium
Lineage: Bacteria
Description: partial 16S ribosomal RNA
Rfam family: Bacterial small subunit ribosomal RNA
Source: RNAcentral